UACGACGGGGGCUAGCGUUGCUCGGAAUCACUGGGCGUAAAGGGUGCGUAGGCGGGUCUUUAAGUCCGGGGUGAAAUCCUGGAGCUCAACUCCAGAACUGCCUUUGAUACUGAGGAUCUUGAGUUCGGGAGAGGUGAGUGGAACUGCGAGUGUAGAGGUGAAAUUCGUAGAUAUUCGCAAGAACACCAGUGGCGAAGGCGGCUCACUGGCCCGAUACUGACGCUGAGGCACGAAAGCGUGGGGAGCAAACAGG
RNAcentral lists this ribosomal RNA (253 nucleotides) under uncultured bacterium. RNAcentral's name for it is "partial 16S ribosomal RNA". It matches the Rfam family "Bacterial small subunit ribosomal RNA", at positions 524 to 776 of the family's 1533-position model. The record is from RNAcentral.